Molecule: ribosomal RNA, 253 nt
Filed under: uncultured bacterium
Lineage: Bacteria
Description: partial 16S ribosomal RNA
Rfam family: Bacterial small subunit ribosomal RNA
Source: RNAcentral
UACGUAGGGUGCGAGCGUUGUCCGGAAUUACUGGGCGUAAAGAGCUCGUAGGUGGUUUGUCGCGUUGUCCGUGAAAACUCACAGCUUAACUGUGGGCGUACGGGCGAUACGGGCAGACUGGAGUACUGCAGGGGAGACUGGAAUUCCUGGUGUAGCGGUGGAAUGCGCAGAUAUCAGGAGGAACACCGGUGGCGAAGGCGGGUCUCUGGGCAGUAACUGACGCUGAGGAGCGAAAGCGUGGGGAGCGAACAGG